This 371-nucleotide ribosomal RNA is filed under the name uncultured bacterium. RNAcentral's name for it is "bacterial SSU rRNA". It matches the Rfam family "Bacterial small subunit ribosomal RNA", at positions 527 to 896 of the family's 1533-position model. The record is from RNAcentral.
GUAGGGGGCAAGCGUUGUCCGGAUUUAUUGGGCGUAAAGAGCGUGUAGGCGGCCAGAUAGGUCCGUUGUGAAAACUCGAGGCUCAACCUCGAGACGCCGAUGGAAACCAUUUGGCUAGAGUCCGGAAGAGGAGAGUGGAAUUCCUGGUGUAGCGGUGAAAUGCGCAGAUAUCAGGAAGAACACCCGUGGCUAAGGCGGCUCUCUAGUACGGUACUGACGCUGAGACGCGAAAGCGUGGGGAGCGAACAGGAUUAGAUACCCUGGUAGUCCACGCCGUAAACGAUGGGUGCUAGGUGUGGGGGGUGUCGACUCCCUCCGUGCCGAAGCUAACGCAUUAAGCACCCCGCCUGGGGAGUACGGCCGCAAGGCUA